RNAcentral lists this ribosomal RNA (2281 nucleotides) under Termitidae sp. BYU_ACIS007. RNAcentral's name for it is "eukaryotic LSU rRNA". It matches the Rfam family "Eukaryotic large subunit ribosomal RNA", at positions 45 to 1888 of the family's 3401-position model. The record is from RNAcentral. Lineage: Eukaryota; Metazoa; Arthropoda; Insecta; Blattodea; Termitidae.
ACUAGGCGGAGGAAAAGAAACUAACAAGGAUUCCCCCAGUAGCGGCGAGCGAACAGGGAGGAGCCCAGCACGGAAUCCCGCGCGGAGACGCGCAGGGAGAUGUCGUGUGUGGGAGGCCCCACUCUCCCGGGGCGCGGUGCGGCGAGUCCAAGUCUCCCUUGAACGGGGCCAUCGCCCGCAGAGGGUGCCAGGCCCGUAGGACCGCGACCGCUCCCGGGUGGGGGCUCUCCUCAGAGUCGUGUUCCUUGAGAGUGGAGCACUAAGAGGGUGGUAAACUCCAUCUAAGGCUAAAUAUGACCACGAGACCGAUAGCGAACAAGUACCGUGAGGGAAAGUUGAAAAGAACUUUGAAGAGAGAGUUCAAUAGUACGUGAAACCGUUCAGGGGUAAACGGGAGAGACCCGGAACACCGUAAGGGGAGAUUCAGCCCCGUCCGCGUGUGUCGGACCACGGGCGGUUGCUCCCGGAUGCUCCCGGCCGCCGGUCGCGCCGCAAGGCACGCGCCGGUGCGAGUCGGGGGCACCGGCCGCCCGUGGUUUUAGGCCGUGGCGGGGUGCACUUCUGGCCCCAAGUUGGACGUCGCGACCCGUUGGAGGAGUCUACGGACGAAGCGGUCUAAGGCCCGGGAACGAGACCGGGGGUACUUCCGCUGAGGCGCGGGUCAAAGGUGCCCUCGGACCCCGGUAAGCCUGGCCGCCCUCCGACGGUCUUUGUUAGGGAGGAUAAAGGCCGGCUACCUCAACGCCUGGCGCGAGGAGAGAGCGUCCGACCCGGUGGGCAAGAACUCCGGGGAGAAAUGCCGGGUGCGCGUGGCUCUCGUCACGCCCCCGGACCCCGGUUAGACUGAUAGCCCCCGUGGACUCUCGGACAAUCCACCCACGGCCACUCCAGUCUGCGGCGCUUCAGCUUCGGGUGCUCUCCCGACCCGUCUUGAAACACGGACCAAGGAGUCUAACAUGUGCGCGAGUCACUGGGAUCAAGUCUAAACCCAGAGGCGCAGUGAAAGCGUGGGGCCCGCACGGCUUAAUGCCGCCGCGGGCCGCUAAGGGAGGACGGCCGUUCGUUCCCGACCGGUGCGGGCGGCCAGCACUCCCGGGGCGCCUCGGCUCCGGCCGCAGGCGCACCCGGAGCGCACACGUUGGGACCCGAAAGAUGGUGAACUAUGCCCGGCCAGGACGAAGUCAGGGGAAACCCUGAUGGAGGUCCGCAGCGAUUCUGACGUGCAAAUCGAUCGUCAGAGCUAGGUAUAGGGGCGAAAGACUAAUCGAACCAUCUAGUAGCUGGUUCCCUCCGAAGUUUCCCUCAGGAUAGCUGGCGCCGAGUUGGACUGGGACAGUCUCAUCCGGUAAAGCGAAUGAUUAGAGGCCUUGGGGCCGAAACGACCUCAACCUAUUCUCAAACUUUAAAUGGGUGAGAUCUCCGGCUUGCUUGAGCGAAGCCGCGAGAAGACGGAUGAUGGUGCCAAGUGGGCCAAUUUUGGUAAGCAGAACUGGCGCUGUGGGAUGAACCAAACGCCGGGUUAAGGCGCCUAAACCGGAGCUCAUGGGAGACCAUGAAAGGCGUUGGUUGCUUAAGACAGCAGGACGGUGGCCAUGGAAGUCGGAAUCCGCUAAGGAGUGUGUAACAACUCACCUGCCGAAGCAACUAGCCCUGAAAAUGGAUGGCGCUAAAGCUCCGUGCCUAUACCCGGCCGCCGGAAGGCAGGGCCGUGAUGCUGAAGCCCCGGCGAGUAGGAGGGCGCGGCGGUGAGCGCGGAAGGGUCUGGGCGUGAGCCCGCCUGGAGCCGCCGCCGGUGCAGAUCUUGGUGGUAGUAGCAAAUACUCAAGCGAGGGCCUUGAGGGCUGAUGCGGAGAAGGGUUUCGUGUGAACAGCCGUUGCACACGAGUCAGUCGAUCCUAAGCCCUAGGAGAAAUCCGAUGCCGAUGAGGCGGGGUGGCUACCCGCCCGUCGAGGGCGAAAGGGAAUCCGGUUCCUAUUCCGGAACCCGGCAGCGGAACCGAACCGUCGGGCCCUCGCAAGAGAAGCUCGUCGGGGUAACCCAAAGGGACCCGGAGACGCCGUCGGGAGACCCGGGCAGAGUUUUCUGUUCUGCAUAAGCGUUCGAGUUCCCUGGAAUCCUCUAGCAGGGAGGUAGGGUUUGGAACGCGAAGAGCACCGCAGUUGCGGCGGUGUCCGGGUCGUCCCCUCGGACCUUGAAAAUCCGGGAGAGGGCUACGCGGAGGUGUCGCGCCGGCUCGUACCCAUAUCCGCAGCUGGUCUCCAAGGUGAGGAGCCUCUAGUC